AGAGGGAUCAAGGUGGACCCUGCAAAUCCAAUCCUCUUCCCACUGCCAUGCUGGAAAAGACGCCCUGAAAUUUCGUUCUGAUUAUGUAACGCUGUUAACUGGACAAUUGCUUCACCUCUCCGCAUUAUGUACGAGACGCGGCCAGGAAAUGAUGCAAUUACCAAAAGAAUCAAGGAACCUUCCAGCCCAGCCUCAAUUCAGAAAUCCUUGUGAAAUACGAGCAGAAGGCAAUAGGAUGUAACUCAGCUUUGAAAGUGCCAACCGUUACAGCUGAACAAAUGUAACCCAAGAGACUCCGCUCCGCUGCAAGAUGGAAGGAGGCUUAAGCAAAACACUUAUAAAUUUGUAACGAACUUGCUCAUGACAUCCGGCGCCGGUGUGAGUUACAGCCGUCAUCCGUCAGCACAGAAUUCAGGAAAGCUACAUUAAGUGAUGUGUCCUUCUCAGUGCAUUACAUCAGAAGCACAGAAUGCUGAUGUAUCGCAUUGUCUCUGAUGGUAAAUGUGGUAAGCAGAAUAAUGGCCCCCACGGAGACAUCCCUGUCCUCAUCUCCAGAACAUGUGAAUAUGUUACUCUGCAUGGCAGUAGGAACUUUGCAGGUGUGAUUAAAUUAAGAAUUUUGAGACAGAGGAGAUUAUCCUGGAUUAUCUGGGUGAACCCUAAAUCCUCACAAGGGUCCUUAUAAGUGAUGGAGGGAGGCAGGAGAGUCAGUGUCCCAGUGAUGUGAUCUGAGGAAGACUCAACCAGUGUUUGUUGGCCUUGAAGAUGGAGGAAAGGGACGUUGAGCCAAGGAAUGCAAGUGGCCUCUAGAAGCUGGAAAAGGCAAGGAAAGUUAUUCUCCCCUAGAGCCCCUAGAAAGAAAAUAGCCCUGCCAACACUAGAUUUUAGCAUAGUGAGAUGUGUGUUAGACUUCUCGACUAGAGAACUGUAAGGUAAUACAUUUGUGUUUUUUAAGCCACUAAGUUUGUGGUAAUUUUUCACAACAGCAAUAGGAAAUUAAUACAGUUAAGUUUGAUCAUUUGGUUAAGGUGUCUGCCAUAUUUCUCCAUGAUACAGUUACCUUUUAUACUUGUAAUUAACAAAUGUUGAAAAAAGCAAUUAUCACCCAUGGAAGUAAUACUUUGAGAAUAUAUGUCUUUUCUGUUCUUCAGCAAACUUUCACCCAAUGGUGUUAGCAUCCACUGAUGAUCCUUGCCUGAAUCAAUUAUUACUAUGUUGAUUACAAAACGGUGAUAUUUUAAUUUUAUUAUUCUCAUAUAAAGAACUUUCCUUGCUCUCCUCCCUCUUUUUAUCUUUAUUUAAUUUUCAAAUAUCAGUUUGAACAAUUCUUUUUUC
Diceros bicornis minor is the source of this 1335-nucleotide long non-coding RNA. RefSeq lists it as uncharacterized. NCBI's taxonomy places the organism in Eukaryota, Metazoa, Chordata, Mammalia, Perissodactyla, Rhinocerotidae. The transcript has 3 exons. The record is from RefSeq and is a predicted model, not a curated record.